Molecule: long non-coding RNA, 281 nt
Filed under: Mytilus galloprovincialis (Mediterranean mussel)
Lineage: Eukaryota; Metazoa; Mollusca; Bivalvia; Mytilida; Mytilidae
Source: RNAcentral
GGUGUAUUGUAAUAAACAAAUAAAACUUAAUACUUUGCAUUGUGUUACUUUUAAGCUCAAAAUCUGUAUCGAAGGCGUCUAUUAGAAGGUACAAAGUCAGUCAUAAACAAAAGACAUAACUACGGGAAACAUAACGUUAACGUUUGCAUUAAAUUCUCAACAUGUGGUAUAUCUGUUAAAACCCCCACUGGGCCCAGUUCACAAUAUUUUCCUUUUCAAUUUCAUCCUAGACCUUAAAGUAGUAAAUUGAAUCUUCAUCGCUGAAACAAAAUAUACUUAUC